RNAcentral lists this long non-coding RNA (1155 nucleotides) under Citrus sinensis (sweet orange). RNAcentral describes it as "long non-coding RNA (CSIN_LNC000573)". Lineage: Eukaryota; Viridiplantae; Streptophyta; Magnoliopsida; Sapindales; Rutaceae. The record is from RNAcentral.
AACAAACACUUAACGGUUGGAAGAAAUUGUAGGAGAGAGGGUUGGACAAAUUUAGAUUAAUCCAAAUGAAUUUCAAAUUGUUCGGAUUGGUAAAAAAGUCAUCCGAACUAAAAUCCGAUCCGAACAUAUUCGGAUCGGAUGAAUAGUUUAGAUUAAUUCAUAUUUGGAUCGGUAAUAUCAUAUUGAAAUAGAAUUUUGAUGUGUUCAAAUAAAUCAGAUGAAUCCAAAUCACUUUCAAGUUGCAAUACAAAAUUAAAAUUCAGCAAGCCAGCAAAUGGAAAAAAGAAAGACAGAAAAUGAAACUGUUCGUUUUAACAUCAGAUCUUCAGCAACAAUUGCAUUCCAAAAGGAGGAAAAGCUAAAUCAAACAAUCAACUUUACAAUCACCAAAAAGGCAAAUAGUAACGAGAAUGAAAUGCAGCAAAAUUGAAAACAAAUUCACAAGCAAUCUAAAAGACCCAAACCUCUGCGAGUUUUUCAAAGUAUAUCUUCUUUACGAGCUUUGAUGGAUCCUACUCCAUUGGAAACCCUUGCAAUAACAAAUAAAUGUUGCAGCUAGUUUUGGGACUUCAACUUUUGCUUGCGGCUUUAGCUAGUAGCGUGGUAGCGUGCGGUUCACGGGCUCAGCGGUUGUUGGUUGGGACGUUAUCGGCGUGAAGCUAGCACAUCGAUGACUUGAGUCUUGACAACUAGUUGGCUUUCUCUCAAAGAGAUUGGCUGGGUUCGUGCGGCUGCAAGUGGUUAUUCGAUUCUUUGGCUAGGUUCGUGCGGUUGCAAGUGCUUCAAUUCUUUGUUUUCUGAUUUGGGAUUUUAGGGAUUUGAUGAUUUAUGCUUUUUCUUUUUCUUUUUUAUUUAUAAUUUAGGUAUACAUUUUUUCAAUUGCAUGUGCAAUUCGAUCGAAUUGAUCCGGAUUUGAUCUGAUUUGAAUUAAAUCCAAUAUGAUUGCCAAAUUCUUAUCCAACCGAAUUAAAUCUGAAUACGAUACGAACAAGAUCGGUUCGCAUCGGAUCAGAUUAGAUCAAUUCUAAUCCGAUCUGAUACCUAGCCCUAGUAGGAGAGAAGAGGAAUGAAAAAGAAAGAAAAUGAGAGAAAAAGAGUGAAAAAGAGAGUCAAUUUCAAUUUCAUUUUUAUUUUACAUGGAUUUCAUCUUUCUCC